This 253-nucleotide ribosomal RNA is filed under the name uncultured bacterium. Its description in RNAcentral is "partial 16S ribosomal RNA". It matches the Rfam family "Bacterial small subunit ribosomal RNA", at positions 524 to 776 of the family's 1533-position model. The record is from RNAcentral.
UACGGAGGGUGCAAGCGUUGUUCGGAAUCAUUGGGCGUAAAGCGCGCGUAGGCGGCUUGGCAAGUCGGUUGUGAAAGCCCGGGGCCCAACCCCGGAACUGCAUCUGAAACUGCCUGGCUAGAGUCCCGGAGAGGAAGGCAGAAUUCCCGGUGUAGGGGUGAAAUCCGUAGAUAUCGGGAGGAAUACCAGCGGCGAAGGCGGCCUUCUGGACGGUGACUGACGCUGAGACGCGAAAGCGUGGGGAGCAAACAGG